UGUGGCUCGCUUCUUCAGUGCCAGGCUGCUCAAACCUCUAGGGGGGCAUACAGACAGGCAGAGGCUGUGGGCCUCCAACCCCACGGCAGCAUGUAGGGGUGGAUGCUUACAGCUCCUGGAGCCCCAGUGGGCGUGUGUUACAGGGUGCUCUUUUAGUUUUGCUGUCUAUAGGCGACUUGUGUUAGUUAACCAGCUCGAGUGGGCUCUCAACCUUGUCAUAGGACAGAGAGGGCUUUCUAUAUGCCGGGUUCUUGCCUUGGUGUACCAGAAGAAUUGGAUCACACCUGGGCUUAGAGAAUGGGUGCAAGGUUUUAUUGAGUAGAGGUAGCUCUUAGCAGAUGUUGGAAGCCAGAAGAGAAUGGAGUAGGAAGGUUUUCCCCUGGAGUGGGGCCACUCAGCAGCCCGGGACCCCCUUCCACAGUCCCAGCCAAACUCUGCGUCGUUCUGCUGGUCAGCGGCCUGCUGGCGUGCCAGUGCCUGCUGAUGUGCUCCUCUGGACGUCCAGCCGCCUGUGUGUUCCUCCACUGAUGUGCUCCUCUCCAUGUCCGGCUACCUGUGUGUCUGCCUGCUAAGGUAUGAAAUCUAAGGAUGCCCCCUCUCUGGAGCUGCCUGCCUGUGUUUGAAUCCUGAAGAUCGUGAUGCGUGAGUUAAUCCGUGCUAAGAACUCGGAACACGUCUCACUUGGCCUGGCAUGGAAGAGGCGCUCGGAAUCAAAACGGAGA
Molecule: long non-coding RNA, 722 nt
Filed under: Homo sapiens (human)
Lineage: Eukaryota; Metazoa; Chordata; Mammalia; Primates; Hominidae
Description: HSALNT0290794
Source: RNAcentral